This is a long non-coding RNA of Homo sapiens (human), 645 nucleotides long. Ensembl annotates it as PKNOX2 antisense RNA 1. Its record names the gene PKNOX2-AS1. The record is from Ensembl. Lineage: Eukaryota; Metazoa; Chordata; Mammalia; Primates; Hominidae.
AGUCCCGUCCUGACCUCCAGACCUUGCAUGUGGAUUGGUUUUGCUGCUGUAAGGAAAGGGCUCAAGGACAGCAGCUCAGCAUCCUGUGGCUGCACACGCAGAGUGAGAGGGACAUGGUGGCAGGGCCUAUCGAGGGUCUGCGUGGCCAGGAACGAGGAGUGUCAUGACCGAGAAUGAAUACUCUGGAUGUGGUGGCUGGCUCCUUGUGAAGAAGAAUUCAAUCAGAUUCCAUUUGAUUAAUCUGCAUUGAGAUCCUAGUAUGUGUCCGACACUAUGCAGAAAUACUUCACUCCCUCUUCCAUGGCAGACCAUGAUGAACUAGGGUUUGCUGUUUUCACGGCUUCUGUCACUGUUGGAGCUGAGGCUGAGGCUGCAGCAGGAGCUCCUCUGGCCCCGAGGCAAGAGACAUGUUCUCUGCAUCCCCAGGGGACCCAAAGCAACUUCUGGUUUGGGUUAAAGAGGACUUGGGUGACCCCACCCUGCCAGUCAUCCACCCUCUGGCAGCCAGGGCGGCAGCAGGGGAGGGGGCAGAAGGCUGCCACAGUGCUUCUCUCCCCUGCCAUUUCCUCUGCAGCUCCCUCUCUGGCCCUGUUUUUCAGACCUCUAGUAAUAAAAACAAGCCAAUAAAAUGAACAUGAAAAUAUA